UGGGGAAUCGUCUAAUGGUAGGACAACGGAUUUUGGUUCCGUUUAUCUAGGUUCGAGUCCUAGUUCCCCAG
This 71-nucleotide transfer RNA is filed under the name Candidatus Saccharimonadota bacterium. RNAcentral describes it as "tRNA-Gln". It matches the Rfam family "tRNA". From Rfam's summary of the family: Transfer RNA (tRNA) molecules are approximately 80 nucleotides in length. Their secondary structure includes four short double-helical elements and three loops (D, anti-codon, and T loops). RNAcentral also lists the same sequence under 2 other names. Lineage: Bacteria; Candidatus Saccharimonadota. The record is from RNAcentral.